UUUUGAAGGGGCUUCAUUGCAACGCAGCGCCAACUGCGGCCAAUCAAUGUUCCGGAUAUGCACUCCGGUCUGGUGGUUAUUUGAUGUUUAUUAUUUUCGUACUACUUCCGGGUUUUGUUGUUUACAAUAUAAACCGUUACAAGUUCGUGCUUAACGAUAUUGUGUUACUGUUUAAAAGACUGUAUAUUUUACUAAACCACCAACGAAGUGGUUAAACUACAUAUGACUGAUAGAAUUUGAGGCGAAUAGUGUUCUCAUUGGAAGUCGCAGCUGCAGCUUUCAAACCAACUUUGGUAAAAAACAGCUUUCUGAAUAGCUCCCAUUUAAGACUCAAGUUACUUUGAAAGCUACUGCUACAUUAUAUUGAUAGGAUUUUCCUUUGGAUCCUCCGUAUUCUCUUAGGACUGUGUUAUGAAGAAGAGAGUGAGGCGUGCGCGGUUUUCCGAUGUGGCAGCAGGACAAAGAAGCCAGACUCAGUUAGUUGUCGGGGUAAAGAAACAUUUUGGGCGGCGAGGAAGAACCAAUAAUAAUGCUGCAAAGAUAACUUCACCAUCAGUGACAUAUCUACAGUUUUACAAUUGAGCACAGCAGUGUCAGCUGUGGCGACAGAAGGGGAGGAGCAGCCACAGCAUAGAUCAAAGAAAUCCUGUGAUUCCCCUUCAAGAUUCUUGACAAGCAGUCUAGAUUUUGAGGUAUGGGCAGACUCAGCAUUGCAUUCUGUCAUGGAAAGUUCUCACCUCGGAGGCUGCGGCAUGCCUUCGACAAGUGGCCAGGGGAUCCAGAGAGAGCCAGCCCAGUCGCCACUGUUUUUAUACAUAGACUUUCAGGGCCUAGUUGGAGUGCCACUGAACCGUGGUCCACGUCACUCAGUUUGUCUGCAAGACCUGCCACACAAUACUGCUCAUAUUUAUGCAGAGGGUUAACAUCUUGCCCUCUGUGAAUGUGCACACCAGAGGCAGGAAGAGUUCAGAGGGCUCUCAAUGAACGGUGGACCCCAUCUUGUUGUCACCCUCCAUCCCCUCCUUCCCAAGUGUCUCCACAGCCUGGUGUCCUGGGCCCACCACCAUGCAGAGGACUGCCGCUCUUGCCCUGAGCUGAAAGAAGUGCUGGAGAGGCAGUGCUGGGGCUCAGUAAGUGCCGUCUGGGGGUGUGUGGAUGGACAUAGUUACGGAAUAGACACACAGACCACAAAGCCCAGAGCAAACCCUGGACACACAGAGUGAUCCCCUACUGGAAGGUGAGGAGCAGCUUCGAGGGAACCAACACCCUGUCAACACCACCAUGUCCCAGCCCAGUACAGCUGCCACCCCCCAGACUCAGAGCGCCGUCCACACUGAUGCUACCACCACCAGUGUAGAUGGUCAGACAGCUUUUGGUACCGCCAAAGUUACCCUGGGAAACUGAAGUAUGGUGUUAAUUGCAUUGAAAUGCAUGGCUCUUUGCAGGUGGUUACCAUCUUAUUGUCUGUUGCCAGUCCAAAUUAAUUCGUUUGACCCUCUUGUCCCUAGAAUUUCUCUUUGAGGAGACACCCUCUCCUGCACCAGCCCUGCUCAUGGACAGGCCAGGUGAAUCAACAAUGAAAAACAAGGUUCAAGUUAUACAGUACUGGAAAGUUAAGAUUGGUUAAACUAUAGGCUGUUGUGUCAAAUCUUAGGAACUUGUCCAGCGAGGAUGAGUUUGAAGAGAAAAGGAAAAGUGUAUCCUCUGAAUUAUUUGAGCCAUACCUAGAGAAGGAGUGAGUAGAUUGAUGUGGGUUCUAGCCAGAGGCAACAUGCCCAUAGGGGGCACAGGGUCACAUGCCCCUUCAGAUUGGUCCUGUUUAAAAAUAAUUGUGGUUUCUCUGUAAUACUACUAGCCACCUCGCAAUUUUAUGAAGCUGACUUUAGCUAGCCCAGAUAGGCUCCCAACCACAUAACUAGCUACCAAGAUGCCAUUUCAGUCUAUCAAUCAAGUUAGAGUAGCUAGCUUGUCUAUCUUAACUGGCAUGCCUAUAAAAGCAAGCAAUAGCUAAAUGUACUGAAUAAGACUGACAUUCCUUUCAAUCUUUUACCCAGAAUUUAGCAGAGAAGCAUAUUUAGUUUUGUCGUUUUUUUUUACCCACCAGUCUGGAGGAUACAGACAGCUCAAGAGGUAUGCUUAGAUAUGCAGAUAAAUAUACAUUUUUCUUUACAAAGAAUUAAGCAUUUUGGGGUGCAUGAUGCCCUGGUUCUAGCUAUUUUGCAUAUCAAACCAAAAUUAUACAUAACACAUCAGUAGACAGAAAGAUCUCUUAUUACUAGCGGAAAAAGGGCAUCGUGGCUUUGAUAUCUUCAGUGUUUUCUUCCUUUUCCCAUGCCCUACAGAAUUGCUUCCCCGGAGAACCAGAAUAAAAUAAGCAAUUGGACUGAGGUGUAGUAUCCAUGUUUGUUUUUGGUUUUCAGAGAGGAGCUGCCCAAUCUACAAAUGUCCGUACCCAGGCUGCUUAUCUGUAGAAAAAAAAAGAGCAGAGGGCAUUAAGAAACACAUUAAGGAGCACUAUGAAGAGGUCUGCAAGCGGCCCUGCCGUCACCAUAGGCUGCGACAAGGUCUUCAUGAUUGACCGCUACCUGCAGCGACACGUCCAACUCAUUCACACAGAGUUGGGGAACUACAUCUGUGACUAAUGUGGUCAGACCUUCAAGCAGAGGAAACACCUGUCUGCACCAGAUGUGCCACUCAGGGGUUAAGCCACUACAGGGGGAGAUUAAGCUCAUAUCAGGUGGCAAGGUUCUGCUGAAUUGUGUUGUGAGGGGCUCAAGCACUGAUGAGUCUGUCAGGAGUUAGCCAAGCCUUUGAUUAUGUGGUACGAUUUGGGUGAGUCUGUAAUAAUGGAAGGGAUGGUUAGGGGCACAAGAAUGCAAGCUUGUAUUUGGCACCCUCACUAAGCCUUUUUGUCUACUUUAAGAUGACCAAACAAGACAGAGGCUGAUCUGGAAUUUGCAUGUGACCUGUGUGGGGAGCGCUUUGAGAUGGCCCACAACCUCAACGACCACGGUGCAUCCCCUCACACUAGCAGCUGUCAGAGGAAACAUUGACAGCCCCUCCAACAACCAACCAUCAAAGACUGGGGAGCUGAACCCAUACACCGGUUGAUAGACUUGAUUAGGUCCGUAACCGACAAGGAGCUGCAAAGAACACAACGUCCCUUGAGCCUCUAAGGAGUCUGGUAUAGACUGGUCAUGGGUACAGUGACUAAUUGAAUAGGACAUGGAAUCACUAGUCACUUUUAAUGUGUAUACUGUUGUACUCAUUUCAAUUGUAUAUACUGUAUUCUAGUCAAUGCCACUCAGACAUUGCUCGUCCUAAUUUAUAUAUUUCUUAAUUCCAUAAUUUUACUUUUAGAUGUGUGUAUUGUUGAAGUAUUAGAUACUACUGCACUGUUGGAGCUAGGAAAACAAGCAUUUCACUACACCGGCAAUAACAUCAGCUAAAUAUGUGUGAGACCAAUAACAUUUGAUUUGACUUGUACUGUUCAUGCUCUAAACCAGGAAUAGGCAACUGACUGGGGACACAGAAAAAUAUCAACUCAUCAGUGGUGUAAAGUACUACUUAAAGUUGUUUUUGGGGGGUAUCUGUACUUUACUAUUUAUAUUUGACAACUUUUACUUCACUACAUUCCUAAAGAAAAUGUACUUUUUACUCCAUUUUCCUUGACACCCAAAAGUACUUGUUACAUUUUGAACGCCAUCUUGUUUAUUGAUACUUAGGUAUAUUUAAAACCAAAUACUGGGUGACUAACUUGAGUAAUUUUCUUUUAAAAGAUAUCUUUACUUUUAAUCAAGUAUGAGAUUUGGAUACUUUUUCCACCACUGCUCAUGAGGGACUCGCAUGUCUGCCCUACCCAAAUCCAUAAAUGCAAAAAAUAUAAGUUUUAGAGUUACUUUUGUCCAUUUCUACACAUUUUGCCAUGGGGCGUAGAGCAACAAAAUCAACAGUGGCCCCCCCAGUCGGUAAAUCGACCAUGAUUACCACACAUUUAGAUUGGUCUAGCGGCCAGCACAUUUUAUUUUUUGCUGACAUGGGCUAAUUGCGUGACUGACGUAACUAGGGAAACUGCUGAUGCACAACCAAAUUGCACUUUGUGUAUAAUACUAUUCUAACUCUCAGUAUGUUGAGACCCCAACAGUUCCUAAAAAUGGGGGGGGGGGGGUUCACCACUUUCCCCAUACCUGCUCUAAACCCACAACAUACUUGAUAGUGGAACAUUAUUGUGUAGAUCAAUGCUUUUUAAAAUUAAGAUAUUUGAUUAAGUUUAUUCCUUACAACAUUCAUAAGGGCUGGUGAAACUUAAACAGCUAUACAAGUGAUCAGGCUCUUCUGUGUACAGGUAUCUUUCUACAAUGCUGAAUAUACACUGCGCUCCCAAAACCACAAUUCCUUCCACACACACAGAAUUCAAAUACAACUGCCAACCACAUAACCUAAAGGCAACAUUAUAAUGUAGCUAUCCAAGUAUAUUCUUCAUUGGAGGACAAAGACCAAGUCCUCUUGCACCCAUACUAAUCAUCUUUAUAUAUCUUGUUCAUGAAGGAAGCCAAGUUAGUGUCAUUAACAGUCCGUGGUGUGCCUGUAGCCCCAUAUACAUCCAUUCACAGGAAGUCCAGCUCUGGGCUGAGGCUGGAAGAGCUGAGGUGAAAGACCAGAGCUGCUGCCACCUCCGGGUCCAGAUCAACACAUAAGGCCUCCAGCUAGGAACAGGAGAGUGAAAGGGUCACAAGUAGGGUAUUGUGUAGUUCAAAUCCAUAUGAUUUCAACACAGUACUACACAACCCAGUCCUACUCUAUGGAAUACAGACUGAGAUCAGCCUUACUCUGGGUGGUCAGUGUACAAAUGUGUUACCUGGUUCAGCUGAUGUGGAGACAGUGAGGUUGGGGAUGUCAGAGAUAUAGUCUUCAGAAGCACCUGCUGGGCCCUAGUCAGAAUAUAUGAGGGGUCCAUCUGCGAGACCAAAACCCGGAUUCAGAAAACCACUGUCAGUAGUUUGGAGACCACAUACCAGUCAACCAGUGACCGUGUCUGAUGAAUAAACAUGAUUAUCUUAGCUUUUUCUGCAUAUCAAAAUAAGCUCACCUGGUCAGUCAGAUGCUCGGUCACAGGGCAGGGAGUCUGGCCGUCCAUAAAGAGCUUGAUAAGGGAGGAGUAGCAGAGCACAGCAGUGUGGAGGAACCCUGGGGCCUUCACUGUUUUCUCCAAUAUCUCAGAGUUAAGAUGGGGGACCAGGCUGGCAGGGAAACACAAUACACAUAAAGAACUCACAUAUAAACAAGAAAAUGGAUGACAACACUGACAGUUUGACCACCAAGUAAAUAUACCUGUAAAAGGCCAAAGGCAUCAGUCUUGUGUAUUCAUCUGAUGUUACCACGGCCACAGGCUGGUAUAGCCCUUUUUCUUGAAUAGGAAAAACAAAAUAUUACAUCACAGAGACACAAAAUGGGACAUAUUCAAAGCCAGAGGCUACUGUAAAUAAGCAAGUUAUAUACUGUACCAGAGCAUGGUGUCUUGAAUAGUAGCAGCCAGUCAGCAGAGUCCACAAGGACAGUCAGGAUAUCUUUACAGAGUUCCUGAGCUCUCUGAAGACCCUUCACCCUCUAUGUAGCAUGUCACACAAAAGUUGUAUGAAACGUUGUAAUUGUGAUGUUUUGUUAGCAGAAAAGUUGUUUUAGUCUGUUGAAUACGUUACUGUUACACUGUUGAGUGUGUAGGGCUAGGACAGCGUUUCCCAAACUAGGGGUCGCCUGAUUUGAAAAUGGGAUCGCAAGAGAAACUCUGAAAUUAUUAUACAUAUAUUUUUAAACACGUUUGGUUCAUAGAACCGGGAUUACGUCACUCCAGUAGCAGCUAGAUGCAGUUGUAAUAAACAGAGCGGUUUCUGUUUUCUUCCUACAAAUGUGGCUCUGUCUUUUCAACAGUUUAAGCUACAACAUACGGCCCUGUCACUGAAAGAUAAGACUCCCAGGAACUUGUAGCCGCGCAGGACUCAGAACAGACUGGAGAGGAAACAGAACAUCAAUGAUAAUGUUCCAUUUGACACAGAAGUUAAUAAAUUAUUGCCUGAUGAUCUUCUGAACUUGCCAAUACCUUUCUGAUACAUUUCUGUCACCAUACUUUCUUCAGAUAAAAAUACUGUCAAAAGUACAGUCUGACUGAUUUGUAAUAGACUGUCAUAGCCCCAAUUAAAAAAGUAAACAUUGGCAGUUGAUAACAAAACUUUUUUACAUGGUGGGGGCAACAACAAAAACAAUUUAU
Oncorhynchus kisutch (coho salmon) is the source of this 6265-nucleotide long non-coding RNA. RefSeq lists it as uncharacterized. NCBI's taxonomy places the organism in Eukaryota, Metazoa, Chordata, Actinopteri, Salmoniformes, Salmonidae. The transcript has 6 exons. The record is from RefSeq and is a predicted model, not a curated record.